This is a long non-coding RNA of Hibiscus syriacus, 157 nucleotides long. RefSeq lists it as uncharacterized. NCBI's taxonomy places the organism in Eukaryota, Viridiplantae, Streptophyta, Magnoliopsida, Malvales, Malvaceae. The transcript is spliced from 3 exons. The record is from RefSeq and is a predicted model, not a curated record.
GUUGUGCACAAAGGAAAAUGAAAUUUUGACCAUAAAGUAUACUCACCUGAUCAUCCCAGGCUUUUUCAUCGUUGUAGAUCACGGCAGCACCGAGGCUUCUGGCCGGGUUUAUUCCGGUUCCGGUGAUGGGAAUAGUGGCCAGGUGCACCACAAACAC